RNAcentral lists this ribosomal RNA (253 nucleotides) under uncultured bacterium. Its description in RNAcentral is "partial 16S ribosomal RNA". It matches the Rfam family "Bacterial small subunit ribosomal RNA", at positions 524 to 776 of the family's 1533-position model. The record is from RNAcentral.
UACGAAGGGUGCAAGCGUUAAUCGGAAUUACUGGGCGUAAAGCGUGCGCAGGCGGUUUUGUAAGACAGGCGUGAAAUCCCCGGGCUUAACCUGGGAAUGGCGCUUGUGACUGCAAAGCUGGAGUGCGGCAGAGGGGGAUGGAAUUCCGCGUGUAGCAGUGAAAUGCGUAGAUAUGCGGAGGAACACCGAUGGCGAAGGCAAUCCCCUGGGCCUGCACUGACGCUCAUGCACGAAAGCGUGGGGAGCAAACAGG